CAGCAGCCGCGGGAAAACAGAGGGUGCGAGCGUUAAUCGGAUUUACUGGGCGUAAAGCGUGCGUAGGCGGCUUCUUAAGUCGGAUGUGAAAUCCCUGAGCUUAACUUAGGAAUUGCAUUCGAUACUGGGAAGCUAGAGUAUGGGAGAGGAUGGUAGAAUUCCAGGUGUAGCGGUGAAAUGCGUAGAGAUCUGGAGGAAUACCGAUGGCGAAGGCAGCCAUCUGGCCUAAUACUGACGCUGAGGUACGAAAGCAUGGGGAGCAAACAGGAUUAGAUACCCGGGUAGUCCCUGUCUCUUAUAC
RNAcentral lists this ribosomal RNA (301 nucleotides) under uncultured bacterium. Its description in RNAcentral is "partial 16S ribosomal RNA". It matches the Rfam family "Bacterial small subunit ribosomal RNA", at positions 509 to 807 of the family's 1533-position model. The record is from RNAcentral.